Molecule: microRNA precursor, 62 nt
Filed under: Bos taurus (domestic cattle)
Lineage: Eukaryota; Metazoa; Chordata; Mammalia; Artiodactyla; Bovidae
Description: microRNA bta-mir-2285ch precursor
Source: miRBase by way of RNAcentral
UGGCCAAAAAGUUCGUUUGAGCUUUCUUAUACCAUGGAAAAUCAAUGAACUUUUUGGCCAGC